AUCUGCCAAAACAAUGAGUAGAAAGUCCUGUCUCCUUCACAUUACAAACUUCAUAGGAGUUGAGUCACACAGACAAACAUCUGUCCCUGAACUCUACCCACCACACAGGGUUAGGAAGCUUAUGGUGAAAGACUGCCAUUUAGGAAUGGGAUGGGUCGAGAAUCUCCACCUCAGAAAAGAGGAAGGAAGAAGGCCAAUGUAGAAUGAUGACAGCUUCCUGCGGAGUCACAUACAGGUUGAUACAGAUCAUCCAACAGCCGUCAUCACUUACCAUUGAACACUGUAAGAACAAGAUCAGAGAGAAGAUAAGAUGGAGAGAAGAUAAGAUGGAGAGAAGAUAAGAUGGAGAGAAGAACAAGAGAAGACAUCCCUCUGUCUGUCUCUCUCUCUGUCUCUCUGUCUCUCUGUCUCUCUGUCUCUCUCUCUCUCUCUCUCUCUCUCUCUCUGUCUCUCUCUCUCUCCCCUCUCUCUGUCUCUCUGUCUCUCUCUGUCUGUCUUUCUCGCUAUGUCUCUCUCUCUUUGUCUCUCUCUCAGUUCAAUGGGCUUUAUUGGCAUUGGACACAUAUGUUAACAUUGCCAAAGCAAGUGAAAUAGAUAAUAAAUAAAAGUUAAAUAAACAAUAAACAUUGCACUUACAGAAUUUCCAAUAGGAAUAGAGACACUACAAAUGUCAUAUUAUGUCUAUAUACAGUGUUGUAACGAUGUGCAAAUAGUUAAAGUACAAAAGGGAAAAUAAAUAAACAUAAAUAUGGGUUGUAUUUACAA
Long non-coding RNA from Salvelinus fontinalis (brook trout), 765 nucleotides. RefSeq lists it as uncharacterized. Lineage: Eukaryota; Metazoa; Chordata; Actinopteri; Salmoniformes; Salmonidae. The transcript is spliced from 4 exons. The record is from RefSeq and is a predicted model, not a curated record.